RNAcentral lists this ribosomal RNA (418 nucleotides) under bacterium. Its description in RNAcentral is "partial 16S ribosomal RNA". It matches the Rfam family "Bacterial small subunit ribosomal RNA", at positions 355 to 776 of the family's 1533-position model. The record is from RNAcentral.
UGGGGGAUAUUGCACAAUGGGCGAAAGCCUGAUGCAGCGACGCCGCGUGGGGGAUGAAGGCCUUCGGGUUGUAAACUUCUUUUGCUCUGAACAAGGCGCACCAUGGGGUGUGUUGAGUGUAGGGGUUGAUUAGCGCCGGCUAACUACGUGCCAGCAGCCGCGGUAAUACGUAGGGCGCGAGCGUUGUCCGGAAUUAUUGGGCGUAAAGGGCUUGUAGGUGGCUGGUUGCGUCUGUCGUGAAAGCUCAUGGCUUAACUGUGGGUUUGCGGUGGGUACGGGCUGGCUUGAGUGCAGUAGGGGAGGCUGGAAUUCCUGGUGUAGCGGUGAAUGCGCAGAUAUCAGGAGGAAUACCGGUGGCGAAGGCGGGUCUCUGGGCUGUUACUGACACUGAGGAGCGAAAGCAUGGGGAGCGAACAGG